AGGGUUUGAUCAUGGCUCAGAUUGAACGCUGGUGGUAUGCUUAACACAUGCAAGUCGAACGGUAACAUUGGAGCUUGCUCCAGAUGACGAGUGGCGGACGGGUGAGUAACGCGUAGGAAUCUGCCUAGUAGUGGGGGACAACAUGUGGAAACGCAUGCUAAUACCGCAUACGCCCUACGGGGGAAAGCGGGGGAUCUUCGGACCUCGCGCUAUUAGAUGAGCCUGCGUUAGAUUAGCUUGUUGGUGGGGUAAUGGCCUACCAAGGCGACGAUCUAUAGCUGGUCUGAGAGGACGAUCAGCCACACUGGGACUGAGACACGGCCCAGACUCCUACGGGAGGCAGCAGUGGGGAAUAUUGGACAAUGGGCGCAAGCCUGAUCCAGCAAUACCACGUGUGUGAAGAAGGCCUGAGGGUUGUAAAGCACUUUCAAUUGGGAGGAAAACAGCUGGGUUAAUAGCCCUGCUCUUGACAUUACCUUUAGAAGAAGCACCGGCUAACUCCGUGCCAGCAGCCGCGGUAAUACGGAGGGUGCGAGCGUUAAUCGGAAUUACUGGGCGUAAAGCGUACGUAGGCGGUUAUUUAAGUCAGAUGUGAAAGCCCCGGGCUCAACCUGGGAACUGCAUUUGAAACUGGAUAACUAGAGUUUGAUAGAGGAGAGUAGAAUUUCUGGUGUAGCGGUGAAAUGCGUAGAGAUCAGAAGGAAUACCAGUGGCGAAGGCGG
This 722-nucleotide ribosomal RNA is filed under the name uncultured bacterium. RNAcentral's name for it is "bacterial SSU rRNA". It matches the Rfam family "Bacterial small subunit ribosomal RNA", at positions 8 to 724 of the family's 1533-position model. The record is from RNAcentral.